AUUCAUAUAAUAUAUUUAGUAUAUUUGACUUCCAAUCAAAAAGUUUAAUAAUUUUAAUAUGAAUA
This 65-nucleotide transfer RNA is filed under the name Heliconius sara. RNAcentral describes it as "tRNA-Gly". Lineage: Eukaryota; Metazoa; Arthropoda; Insecta; Lepidoptera; Nymphalidae. The record is from RNAcentral.